CCAUUAUAACAUGAAUUUGAUGCAUAGACUUGGCCGUUCUCCAACCGAUCCAGGCAAUGGAACAGGUAAUUAUGGCCAUCAUCAGCAAUAAAAUUACUGGGUACUGUACGCCAACUCCAAUGAAGUGGCGGUAGAUAAAGAGCCGGUAGAGAAAAAAUCCACUAGCGCCAAAAAGUACUACUGCUGACAUCUCGAACAAAAUAUUGAAGGUCAGCACAAGAUAUUUCCAGCAAUCCGAUGAGAGAGCCAUUGUGUUUCGUGCUCACAUGUCCGAUAUCUCGGUUGAAAGCCAAAACAAAGCGGCCGCGGCUGUUCCACCUCAGAGAAUGUUUGUAUGUCGCUCCGCUCGCGUAACUCACGACUGACGGUGCAACGACACACCGACGUACAGAAUUAAUUCGACAUUUAUCUAGUGUCUCGGAUAAUCUCCGCCAAUUUUCUUAACCAAUGUAUGGUCGUAUAGGGCGAAAUUUCCAAGAAAAUAUACUAUUUUUCCGUAUUGAUAUGUGUAAUGCCUUAUCAGCUUAUCGUGUUGAUAAACUAUAUAUUCUGCUUAGGUAUGUUAUGCAUGGCGCAAUGUAACCCAGUUUUGCAGGCGACAUAAGUUCACAAGCGUUACGACUGGCUUAAAGAUGUAUUAAUAGCCAGUGACAAUUCUAUAUUUAUCAACAUCUAUUUUCCUGAGCUUUAUUCAUAUUCCUAGCGACCGGAAAUGAAAUCAUAAAUAUACAUUUAGAUUAUUAUCGAGGAAUAAGUACAGUUGCUAAGAUAAUACAAACUUACCAAAAAUAACACAACAGCUGUUUGAAGAAAUAGCUGCGGACUUUGACAAGAAAGCCAACUUCCCUAACUGUAUUGGAGCCGUUGAUGGGAAACAUAUUCGUAUUCGUAGUCCCCCAAAAAGUGGAUCACUUUUUUUUAAUUACAAGGGCUACAAUUCAAUAGUUUAGUUGGCUAUUGUGGACUCGAAAUACAGAUUCAUCUAUGUGGACAUAGGAGCAUAUGGAAAGGAAAGUGACUCUACUAUUUUCCACAACACGAAACUGUACGACUUACUGAUGAGAGGUGAUUUGCCUACACCAACAUCAAGGCCGUUACCGGGCUUUCAAGAACCGGUUCCAUUUGUUUUUGUCGGAGACGAAGCUUUUUCUAUUUCGAAUAAUGUCAUGCGUCCUUAUUCUGGCAAGCAUUUGUCUGUUAAACAAAGAGUAUUCAACUACCGUUUUAGUAGGGCAAGAAGAUAUGUCGAGUGUACUUUCGGCAUACUGGUCAAUUCAAUCAAAGGCCCAUUAACGUUUCAUAUGAUUUUGCAAUAGAUAUUGUUAAGGCUUGUUGCAUACUACAUAACUUUGUAAUUAACCGUGAUGAAUUAGACACCCCUAUUGAAAUGAUCAUAGAUGAUUCCGAACUACAACCACUUCAACAAGGGUUGAAUGUAGGUAGUCAGGUGGUAAGUGCAAAUAUAAUUAGAAACGAAUAUUCGGAUUACUUUACUAGUGAAGUUGGAGCAUUAAGCUGGCAACUACAAAAAAUUUAAGAAUAUACAAUGCGACUUGCAUUGUUGCUCGCGUUCUUGGUAAUAAGUCAAUACAACAGGUACAAAAGGAUCACAUCGUAAAACAUUAAAGCAACUCGCUGUCGACGCCUAAACAUUUGUUAACAAUUUAAAGAAUAUUUUUUGUGCUUAUAUGAAUAGA
This is a long non-coding RNA of Nymphalis io (European peacock), 1697 nucleotides long. RefSeq lists it as uncharacterized. Lineage: Eukaryota; Metazoa; Arthropoda; Insecta; Lepidoptera; Nymphalidae. The record is from RefSeq and is a predicted model, not a curated record. The transcript has 3 exons.